This is a long non-coding RNA of Oncorhynchus tshawytscha (Chinook salmon), 1313 nucleotides long. Lineage: Eukaryota; Metazoa; Chordata; Actinopteri; Salmoniformes; Salmonidae. The record is from Ensembl.
AAUUGUGUUCGUUGUCCGUAGCUUAUGCCUGCCCACACCAUAACCCCACCGCCACCAUGGGGCACUCUGUUUACCACGUUGACAUCAGCAAACCACUCGCCCACGCAACGCCAUACGUUGCCAUUUGCUUGGUACAAUUGAAACCAGGAUUCAUCUGUGAAGAGCACACUUCUCCAGUGUGCCAGUGGCCAUCAAAGGUGAGCAUUUGCCCACUAAAGUCGGUUACGACGCCAAAAUACAGUCAGGUCAAGACCCUGGUGAGGACGACGAGCAUGCAGAUGAGCUUCCCUGAGACGGUUUCUGACAGUUUGUGCAGAUAUUCUUCAGUUGUGCCAACCCACAGUUUCAUCAGCUGUCAGGGUGUCUGGUCUCAGACGAUCCCGCAGGUGAAGAAGCCAAAUGUGGAGGUUCUGGGCUGGCGUGGUUACACGUGGUCUGGACGUACUGCCAACUUCUCUAAAAUGACAUUGGUAGAGAAAUUAACAUUACAUUCUCUGGCAAAAGCUCUAGUGGACAUUCCUACAGUCAGCAUGCCAAUUGCACGCUCCUUCAAAACUUGAGACAUCUGUGACAAAACUGCACAUUUUAGAGUGGCCUUUUAUUGUCCCCCGCACAAGGUGCACCUAUGUAAUGAUCAUGCUGUUUAAUCAGCUUAUUGAUAUGCCACACCUGUCAGGUGGAUGGAUUAGCUUGUCAAUGGAGAAAUGCUCAUGAACAGUGAUGUGAACAAAUGUGUGCACAACAUUUGAGAGAAAUAAGCAUUUUGUGCUUAUAGAACAUUUCUGGGAUGUUUUAUUUCAGCUCAUGAAACAUGGGACCAACACUUUACAUGUUGCGUUUUAUAUUUCUGUUCAGUGUAAAUAUCCAGGCCAGUUGAUGUAAAAUGGGUUGGGUAUUCAAGUUGUUGAAUAUUUAAUGUCUGAAAUUAUAAGAUUUCAUGCAUCUGAUGUCUGCUGAUUUUGAUUUAUACAUUUGAAUUUAAUCUGGGGGUUUUGUUUUUUCCUUUCAAUUAAGCCCUAGACAACCAGGUGUGGGGAGUUCCUUACUAUUUACUUAAUUCAUCAGUCAGGUUCAAGGGAGGAGCGAAACCCGCAGACACUCUGCCCUCCUUGGAAUGAGUUUGACACCUGUGAUGUAAUUUCUUUAUGCCAUUUAUUUUUUUUAUAAAGUGUAUGUUUCAGGUAUCAGCUAAUAUUGGUUAUGUUUUAUGAUGAAAUGGAUAUGGAUUUGAAUGGACAACUGCUGUAUUACCAUCAAAGCUGCAACACCUGGAGUAUUACUACUGCGGUCAAUACAACUGGAAGACGUGUAUC